RNAcentral lists this transfer RNA (88 nucleotides) under Undaria pinnatifida. RNAcentral's name for it is "tRNA-Ser". It matches the Rfam family "tRNA". From Rfam's summary of the family: Transfer RNA (tRNA) molecules are approximately 80 nucleotides in length. Their secondary structure includes four short double-helical elements and three loops (D, anti-codon, and T loops). The record is from RNAcentral. Lineage: Eukaryota; Phaeophyceae; Laminariales; Alariaceae.
GGAGGUGUUGCUGAGUGGUUGAAAGCCUUGGUUUGCUAAAUCAAUCUACAUUUUUAAUGUAGCGUGGGUUCGAAUCCUACCACUUCCA